Molecule: non-coding RNA, 2692 nt
Organism: Phasianus colchicus (ring-necked pheasant)
Lineage: Eukaryota; Metazoa; Chordata; Aves; Galliformes; Phasianidae
Source: RefSeq, a predicted model, not a curated record
UAGUCUUACAUUCUUGAACCUGUAAAAGGAAAAGUAAUAAGCACUUUUCUCUAUCCACUACAAGUGACUCUAUAAAUAAUGGCCUUAAGUGGCAGCAGGGAAAACUUACAAUAAAAUCGAAGAAAAUUCUGAUGAAAACAGUUCAGCACUGGAAUCAGUUUUCUACAGAGGUAAUGUUGUUACUAGAAAGAGACUGACAAACCUUAAGGAGCUUUUAGGUAUAGCUGAUCCUGCUUUGGCACAAGAGAAAUGACUUCUCAAGAUUCCUUCCUCCUCUUGUCUAUGAGCCGAGAAAGAAAAAAGUGUGCCUCAUUACUCUUCAGCCUCAACAGAUGCUAACUUAGAGUUUUCCUUUUCCCAUCUAUGACCCUGAUAUACUUCUCUUUUUUUCUGUGAGGUUUAUUGGUUUAAUAACUCUUCAGUUUGUGUGGCCUGGAGAAUCAGGUUUUGCAGUUGUAUGGAACAAAGAUAAUCAUGGUGUUUUGUAGUCGUCUUUAACUUUUAUUUUAAGACUAACAAAGGAUCUUUAAAAAAUGAACUAAAUUAUAAAUGUCAUUGUUGCAUAUUUGAACUGUCAUGAAAAAGGCAAAAUAAAGAAAAACUGCAACCAUACAUAACUCUGCACAGAAAUGUAGUAGGAACAGCGUCCAGUUUAGCCUCCACAAAAUCCUGCCCCUGAAAAAUCUAAUUAGUAGAGAGAGGGGAAAAAAAAGCCACACACAGAAAUCAACUGUUGUUUCUAGGAAGCUAUCCUUCAUUUCCUCUUAAAAGUAUAUGCCAUAGGGAAAUUCUGACUUUGUCAUUUGGAUCUCUGAAAUUGUUAUCUGCUAAGCCAGGAUACUUUUUCUAAGUGGAAAGAUGUUUAACUCACUGAGCCAGGGGAAGGGUGGUUAAGCUCAUUUGACAGAGAUAGUUCCCUCCUGUCCGAAAUCUUGGAAUGAAAUUCUCUGCAUGUGUUUAUGCAUUCCGUGCUAUCAGAGGUCUUUGUACUGUGUUUACUGAACAGCUUUUAUGAGAUAUAAAUACCAGCACAUUCUGGUAAGUUUCUAACAAACAGAAUGGUCUACUCAAUCUCAAUAUGGUCCUGUGUUGUAGUAGAUUGGCUACUAUACUUCAAUAAUGGGAAAUACGUUUAAAUUUUAUCCAAUGGUGUGUAUAUUUUAUAAAUUUAGAUACCUUGUGGGUGUAUAGAAGCUGAUUGUAUACCAUUAUUCAUUACGUGCCUUAUAUCAAGCUUUGGUUCCCAUUCUUUUCUGUAGUCACACAUUAGCACUCUUGAAGCUUCCUGCAGAACUGGUUUAAACUAGUCACCCCUGCCUAAAGAACAUUCUAUUUCUUCUGCUCCUGUCAUUAUAAAAACUUAUUAUUGAUAGUUGGUGAUUUUCCAGUACUCUUCUUGACUCGUAAAACUGCAGACUGGGUGCUCACAGAUCAGCCACGUCUCCGAGAAAGUGUGAUAGGUGGAUAGAUGGAUAACUGAUGCGUCAUUUAUGAAAGGCUGAUGAUGAUUACCUCCUAUAAUUGAUCAGCUGCAUUAUCAGCCAACUUGCAAUUAAGAGAUAAUAAGGCACUUAUUAAGUUAAGAACUCUGGAGGUGAUAGUUUAAAUUGCACUGACCACAGAAUUAAUGUUUUGUGUACUUCAUUCUUACUAUCUGCAAUCACAUCUCUUUCUACUGCACUGAGCUGAUUUUAGCCAUGUUCUUUGCUGUGACAUGGUUUCAUUCUACUUUGUGGAUUAUCUUCCUGACAGCGUGGUUGGGAUGCUGGGAAUGGGAGAGACAUCUUUUCCGAUUUAAUUCAAAUGGUUAUGAUUUGUUGAGGUGGGAAUUUUACUGGUACCUUUAAUGGCUGAUAAAAAUAGUUGAUAAAUCAAUGAAGCCAGGUGUGACAUAGGCCACACACUCAGACAAAGAACUCAAAUAUACUUGCCGCAUCUUAUUUAUUUAUCUUUCUCUUUUCAGUUGAGAAAACUUCCCCAAUAUGCUUAUCUUAAAAUAAAACAUCUUGUUUCUCAGGUAAUGUAAAUAAGCAUGGAUGACCAAUCUCUCUGUUGCAAAGGAAGUAUAAGUUUCUCAAAUUGAUUACCCUCAUAGCUUCUCAGGAGAUCUACAUUUUAAUCAGCUGAUGAAACAGAUGUGGGAGGAUUGUCAUGAGCUCUGCUUCUGAAAUCAGAGAGAAGCAACUACAGCCUGGAAGAGAGGGCUUAAGUUCGAAGCUGUGAAGUUAUAUGGAAGAACCGGAGGCUGCGGAACCAGGAGUCAAAUUCGAAAGGAGGUUCUUAAUGCAAGAGGGAAGAUCUGCUGAACGUUCUUUCCAGAGGACUUAGUGGGUGCAAGGAGUUUACCUGAAUUCAAGGUAUCAAACAAGUCCUUAUAUGUGAGAUUGGAGUAAUGAGAAAACAUGAGUUUGGGGUCUGUCACUACAAGAGCAUAUCCAGAGAAGGGCUGUGAACCUGGUGAGGGGUCUGGAGCACAGGUCUUGUGAGGAGCAGCUGAGGGAAGGGGGGUUGUUUAGUCUGGAGAAGAGGAGGUUCAGGAGAGACAUUAUAGCUCUUUAUAGCUCUCUGAAGGGAGGCUGUGAUGAGGUGGGAGUCAGCCUCUUUUCCCAUGUAAUUAGCAGUAGGAAUAGAGGGGAUGGCCUCAAGUUGUGCCUGGGAGGUUCAGGUUGGAUAUUAGGAAAGAUUUCUUCUC